CGUUCUCUGGGUUGUUUGUGAUCAAGCCGAUGUCCCCGAGCCGAUAAUUGUUUAUACAUAGGAAUUCUUUUCCAGCACUAUUGUGCAAGCCCGGCUCGUAUCGGGAAGCCUGCGGUGCUGAUCUGACUUCCGCCUUGAACCUAUGGUUCGAGGCUAACGUUUGACACGGCAACCUCGAGAACAC
Molecule: non-coding RNA, 184 nt
Organism: Rheinheimera sp. SA_1
Lineage: Bacteria; Pseudomonadati; Pseudomonadota; Gammaproteobacteria; Chromatiales; Chromatiaceae
Rfam family: 6S / SsrS RNA
About the family: E. coli 6S RNA was the first non coding RNA to be sequenced, but its function was unknown until recently. It consists of 184 nucleotides that fold into an extended hairpin structure with a large single-stranded internal bulge.
Source: Rfam